RNAcentral lists this ribosomal RNA (253 nucleotides) under uncultured bacterium. Its description in RNAcentral is "partial 16S ribosomal RNA". It matches the Rfam family "Bacterial small subunit ribosomal RNA", at positions 524 to 776 of the family's 1533-position model. The record is from RNAcentral.
UACGAAGGGGGCUAGCGUUGUUCGGAAUUACUGGGCGUAAAGGGCGCGUAGGCGGCGUGACAAGUCACUUGUGAAAUCUCCGGGCUUAACUCGGGACGGUCAAGUGAUACUGUCGUGCUAGAGUACGGAAGGGGCAACUGGAAUUCUCGGUGUAGCGGUGAAAUGCGUAGAUAUCGAGAGGAACACCUGCGGCGAAGGCGGGUUGCUGGGCUGAUACUGACGCUGAGGCGCGAAAGCCAGGGGAGCGAACGGG